CCUACGGGAGGCAGCAGUGGGGAAUCUUCCGCAAUGGGCGAAAGCCUGACGGAGCAACGCCGCGUGAUCGAAUGAAGGCCUUCGGGUUGUAAAGAUCUGUUGACAGGGACGAAUAAGCCAUGCGAAUAGUUUGGUGUAUGACGGUACCUGUUUAGAAAGCUCCGGCUAACUACGUGCCAGCAGCCGCGGUAAUACGGAGGGAGCAAGCGUUGUCCGGAUUUACUGGGCGUAAAGGGCGCGUAGGUGGGUUCUUAAGUCAGGUGUGAAAUCUAUGGGCUCAACCUGGAGACUGCACUUGAAACUGGGAAUCUUGAGGGCAGGAGAGGAAGGUGGAAUUCGUAGUGUAGCGGUGAAAUGCGUAGAUAUUAGGAGGAACACCAGUGGCGAAGGCGACUUUCUGGACUGUAACUGACGCUGAGGCGCGAAAGCGUGGGUAGCGAACGGGAUUAGAUACCCGAGUAGUC
This 464-nucleotide ribosomal RNA is filed under the name uncultured bacterium. RNAcentral describes it as "partial 16S ribosomal RNA". It matches the Rfam family "Bacterial small subunit ribosomal RNA", at positions 338 to 795 of the family's 1533-position model. The record is from RNAcentral.